UCAUCAUCGCCCCUUAUGACCUGGCUACACACGUGCUACAAGUGGUUGGUACAACGAGUUGCGAGUCGGUGACGGCGAGCUAAUCUCUUAAAGCCAAUCUCAGUUCGGAUUGUAGGCUGCAACUCGCCUACAUGAAGUCGGAAUCGCUAGUAAUCGCGGAUCAGCACGCCGCGGUGAAUACGUUCCCGGGCCUU
RNAcentral lists this ribosomal RNA (194 nucleotides) under uncultured Streptococcus sp. Its description in RNAcentral is "partial 16S ribosomal RNA". It matches the Rfam family "Bacterial small subunit ribosomal RNA", at positions 1190 to 1382 of the family's 1533-position model. Lineage: Bacteria; Bacillati; Bacillota; Bacilli; Lactobacillales; Streptococcaceae. The record is from RNAcentral.